Molecule: long non-coding RNA, 766 nt
Filed under: Malus domestica (apple)
Lineage: Eukaryota; Viridiplantae; Streptophyta; Magnoliopsida; Rosales; Rosaceae
Description: long non-coding RNA (MDOM_LNC018275)
Source: RNAcentral
ACCGUUGAUUAUUGUUUACAUUUACGCUUCAUUGUUCUCAUCAAAUUUUGCUUUUUCAGAUUUUCUUUUUUGAAAACUUGACCUAUUAGAGGAUGCAGCAAGAUGAACAGUUUGGAUCGUUGAUAUUAUAUUCAGAGUUUUACGAUUAGUGAAAAUAUUGCUUGAUGUUUAUAAAGUUUCUACAAACUAUAUGACAUCGACUCAUAUUUCAGUUAACCAUAAAUAUCGAAACGUGAUAUCAAAGAUCUGAACCGUUCAUCUUCUUACAUCCGCCAGAUGAUCAUGUUUUCAAAAAAGAAAAUUUUAAAAAUGAAAUUCAGUAAGAAGAAUAAAGCGUAAAUGGCAAUCGACGGUUAAAUAUAAAUUUAAGGUUUAUGAAUUAUAGUGUUGGAUUUCGAAGCUGACCCCUUCAUGAAAGUUGUAAAGUUUGUCACUAUGAGUGAUUGUAUAUUUUUUAACAUUUUUUACACUUCUACAAUAAUUUUUAUUAAUUUUAUUAAUUUUUCCCUCAAAUAAAAAAUAUUAUUCAUGAAGGUUUGGAAGAUUUUAAAAAUCUAAACGAUAAUAUAAGUAUAACCAUUAUCUACUCGUGGAGGAAUAAUGAUGAAUCACGAGUGUUUACAUAUUCUUUCACAUUUUUCGUACUUGUAUGUAUGUAUUCUUAGUUCUUGCCUAUACAAAUAUUAUAAUAAGGAACUCUUAUAAUAAAAAUAAAUAAUGACUAAAACUUUUUUUUUAAACUUAUAUAGAAUAAUAAUACAAAACU